RNAcentral lists this transfer RNA (76 nucleotides) under Clostridia bacterium. RNAcentral's name for it is "tRNA-Glu". It matches the Rfam family "tRNA". From Rfam's summary of the family: Transfer RNA (tRNA) molecules are approximately 80 nucleotides in length. Their secondary structure includes four short double-helical elements and three loops (D, anti-codon, and T loops). Lineage: Bacteria; Bacillati; Bacillota; Clostridia. The record is from RNAcentral.
CUCUCCUUAGUCCAAUGGGAGUGACGCCGGGCCUUCAACCCGGAGACGCGGGGUUCAAUUCCCCCAGGAGGGACCA